AUGUCCUGCACUGGCUGCAGGUGUCCUGGAGCUCUCCUGAAGCAGAGCUCCCAUGGCUCAGAGUCAGAAUUUACCACCACAGAGAACAGCUACUGCUGCAUUCUACUGUUCCUUCUCCAUAUUGUCUCAAACUGCUCGGGAUUGUAUGAGCUCUGCAAAGGCAACAGAAAGGAUAAACUGAGCAGCUUUGUGCCUGUCAUCAUGCUGC
This 208-nucleotide long non-coding RNA is filed under the name Parus major (Great Tit). RNAcentral's name for it is "lncRNA (ENSPMJG00000014545.1)". The record is from RNAcentral. Lineage: Eukaryota; Metazoa; Chordata; Aves; Passeriformes; Paridae.